UUGACCUCAAAUCAGGUAGGAAUACCCGCUGAACUUAAGCAUAUCAAUAAGCGGAGGAAAAGAAACUAACAAGGAUUCCCCUAGUAACUGCGAGUGAAGCGGGAAAAGCUCAAAUUUGAAAUCUGGCAGUCUUUUUUUUCUUCUUUGGCUGUCCGAGUUGUAAUCUAGAGAAGUGCUUACCUGC
RNAcentral lists this ribosomal RNA (184 nucleotides) under Amanita sp. 'georgiensis'. RNAcentral describes it as "partial 28S ribosomal RNA". It matches the Rfam family "Eukaryotic large subunit ribosomal RNA", at positions 1 to 169 of the family's 3401-position model. The record is from RNAcentral. Lineage: Eukaryota; Fungi; Basidiomycota; Agaricomycetes; Agaricales; Amanitaceae.